Molecule: transfer RNA, 62 nt
Filed under: Podarcis lilfordi (Lilford's wall lizard)
Lineage: Eukaryota; Metazoa; Chordata; Lepidosauria; Squamata; Lacertidae
Description: tRNA.His
Source: RNAcentral
GUGGUGUAACGGUUAGCAUGCUGGACUAUGACCUGCGAGACGUGGGUUCGAAUCCCCACUCA